Molecule: long non-coding RNA, 1377 nt
Organism: Esox lucius (northern pike)
Lineage: Eukaryota; Metazoa; Chordata; Actinopteri; Esociformes; Esocidae
Source: Ensembl
CCCUCCCUCCCUCUCUACCUCCCUCCCUCCCUCUCUACCUCCCUCCCUCUCUACCUCCCUCCCACCCUCUCUAUCUCCCUCCCUCCCUCCUCUCUAUCUCUAAGUGUACAUGUGUUAGAAAAGGUGAUAUUCAUUGUCAUGUUGAGUGUUUGACAGAUCUUUCCUCAGUCUAUGGGAGUGGUUUAACACCAUACAUCUGAAUGCAUAAUAUAUCAAUAGGGAAAUAGGUGUAAAUUUAACAAGUCCUUGUGUAACACUGGUAGAGCAUUGAAUCUAGAACACACACACACACACACACACUCAAACACAGAGACACACACAUGCAUGCAAUGUGUUUGUGUGUGUAGAGAGAGAGAUUGAUAAAGAGUGUGUGUGACAGAGAAAGACAGAGAGACAGAGGGAGAGAGAGAGAAAGAGAGGUUGCCCUGUUUGUUGGAGACAGAUACAAACAGACACAGCCGAGUCAUGGCUCCGUAACACACACACACACAGACACACACACACACACACAUACACACACAGAGCCAAGUCGCAGCUUGACAAUAACACAGCCUCGCUGCUACCCAGAAUGCAAUGCCAGAUUUACUGCAGAGAAUGCAGAGGAGGAGGGGGUUCUGGGGUGUGGGGGAGACAGAAAGAGGAGCAGGGGGAGAAGUAGCAAAACAAGCAGAGGGAAGGCGUAGAAUGGAGAAGGAGCGGUUGAGACGAGAAAAGGAAAAGAAGAGAGACUGAGAGGCAUAGAGAUAACUGAGAAAGGAAGGAACAAGAAAGAAUGAGAUGAGAAACGUGAUGAUUGAAGUGUAGGAUUAGGAUUUUGAAAAAAAAUCCAGUCUGUCUAUUACCAUAAUCCAGUUUUGGGCUAUUUCAUCAGUUGUAGGCCUUGUCAUGGAGCGGGGAUAGAACGUGUCAUGUGAUCAGUGUCAAUGCUCCCCCCCCCUCUUCUCCACACUCCUGUUACCAUAGGAACUAGAGCCAGUUGAAGUUGAGACAUUUGUGACCCAUAUAUUAUUUUGUUCAUACUGUUAUGUUAUCUAAUAUAUGCAGACAUAAUUGAUAUAUACAGUAUAUAUAAAUAUAUACAGUGUGUGUAUUUAUAAGGUAUGGGUUAAUAUAUAAUGUAUUCUAUGUAUUAAAAAUGUUGUAUUGAAUUUUUAUGAUAAAAAAUAUUUUUCAACAGAUUCCCCUUCUCUCAUUCAGACAGGGUCAAUGAGUGUGAUUUCCUGAGGUGAAUUCAUUAUCCCAGGGAACACAAGGCCUUUUAUUUCCACCUCUCUGCAUAGCCACAUCCCUCUCCCCAUCCUGCAGAGGUGUGUCUGUAAUCUAGUCCCUCCCCUAGCUGUAGAAUGGGGUGUGUCUAGAUCCCGACCCAGGAAAGAG